This 253-nucleotide ribosomal RNA is filed under the name uncultured bacterium. RNAcentral's name for it is "partial 16S ribosomal RNA". It matches the Rfam family "Bacterial small subunit ribosomal RNA", at positions 524 to 776 of the family's 1533-position model. The record is from RNAcentral.
UACGUAGGGUGCAAGCGUUAAUCGGAAUUACUGGGCGUAAAGCGUGCGCAGGCGGGUUUGUAAGUCUGACGUGAAAUCCCCGGGCUCAACCUGGGAAUUGCGUUGGAGACUGCAAGGCUGGAGUUUGGCAGAGGGGGGUAGAAUUCCACGCGUAGCAGUGAAAUGCGUAGAGAUGUGGAGGAAUACCGAUGGCGAAGGCAGCCCCCUGGGUCAAGACUGACGCUCAUGCACGAAAGCGUGGGGAGCAAACAGG